UUAUCAACGACCUGAUAGCUCUAAUGAUAUUAGAAGUUUUGGAACCUCAGUGCAGUUGUCCCAAUUUCAGGCCAUCGAAAGUUGAAUUCAAUUGCUCACUGAGAUGAUGGUGCUUCAUAUCUUGUCACUGUCUUGGAGGCUUGACAAUUUGACUGGUAAUGGAUCUUUACAUGCUGCUUGGACAUGGGUUAGGCUGCUGUCAUACAAAAAUGCAAAUGGGUAAGGAAUUUAAUGCUUUGCGUAGAAUUUGGUGUUCUAAGCUAUAUAACAGCAACUGUGUUCCAAAACUGAGCCUGAAAGUUAUAAUGCUUAUGUUAGCUGAAUGUUGCUAUCAUGAUAUGGUGAUUCAGUGCAAUGGUUCAGAGCAACUGAGAUAGUCUGGAAAGGAAGAGUCUGGUGCUGUUGAUCAGCAGGUAUGAUUCAGAGUAAUGUUACCAAGCAGUUCAGAAAGAGACUCAGAUUCAAAGUCAGAGAUAGGUUUAUUACUGAUAGAGUGAUAGGAGGCAGGCUGUUAGAUUUGUUUGUAGAUUUCGAGCUUCUCUUAAGUUUCACUUCAUACCUCAAAUUCUAAAAUGGCUGUUAGAUUUGUUUGUAGGAAGGUUCUUGCUGGAUAUUGCAUUGUCUACUUCUAAAAUACCUCAAAUUUAGGUAAGUGCGUGCAUAAAUAAUCUCAAAUGAUAGAUUUAUUCAAGUUUACAAUUUCUGAAGAAUUGAUACUCUGUUUGACAUAUUAGAGAGAAAUCAGAAUAUUUUUUAGAUGUUCCUGCAGAGUCUAUGGAAUUAUCGAUUGGAGUGCUUCCUACUACUGUCAGCUUCACUUAGCUCUUUGCCACAAUUUCAGUUUUGUUUUAUUCCCUUGCUGCAGAAUAUUUUAGAUUUGCUCUUCAAUGUGUGGAAUUGUAUAGAUGGAUUUGCAAGAGAAGAGAUGCAAGCUAUUUGCUCGGCCUCCUAAUCUUAUCACAACUCUGUAUGCAUUGAGUAAAAUUAUGUCAUACUGCACUAAUAUAUUUGAAGAGCAGUACCUGAUUGAAGCUCACAACAAAGCUAAAUGGCUGUGUUGAAAGCACAAACUGCAUAUAAAGGCUAUUCAACACCAUUUGAUACUUCUGGUAAUAAACCGGAAGCUAUAUUUUUCAGGCUUUAUGUUAAUCUACCUUAUUCCCCACAUGUUUUUUUCCUUGAUUUCUUGUGUAAACAUUUUUCUUUCCUGAUCCAUUGUUUCUUGCAGGUAAGAGCCCGAAGGGAGUGAAUAUUAAUGAACCUGGAACAAGCAGUUUGCAGUGUCAACCCAGCAGCUAAUAGAGGCACUACUGGUUCACCAUUCUCCUUGGUCGAGGGGCGGUGGACAUGGCUGCGGAAUCCUGCAGCUGCAGGUGGUGGCAGUUGUGGACUUGAGCGCACAAGGGAGGCGAAGAGAGCAGAUGCGGAUGGAGGGUGUGGAUGAAUGUGGUUGUGUAGUAAUAGUUCGGCCUGGAAUAAUGUAAUGGCUUUGUAUGUUUG
Long non-coding RNA from Panicum virgatum (switchgrass), 1500 nucleotides. RefSeq lists it as uncharacterized. The transcript is spliced from 2 exons. The record is from RefSeq and is a predicted model, not a curated record. NCBI's taxonomy places the organism in Eukaryota, Viridiplantae, Streptophyta, Magnoliopsida, Poales, Poaceae.